This 458-nucleotide ribosomal RNA is filed under the name uncultured bacterium. RNAcentral's name for it is "bacterial SSU rRNA". It matches the Rfam family "Bacterial small subunit ribosomal RNA", at positions 338 to 795 of the family's 1533-position model. The record is from RNAcentral.
CCUACGGGGGGCAGUAGCCGAGAAUAUUCGACAAUGGGCGAAAGCCUGAUCGAGCGACGCCGCGUGAUGGAUGAAGUCCUUAGGGACGUAAACAUCUUUUGUGGAGGAAGAAGUUUCGCUUUUGGCGAGAUUGACGGUACUCCAAGAAUAAGGGGUUGCUAAACUCGUGCCAGCAGCAGCGGUAAUACGAGUACCCCAAGCGUUAUCCGGAAUUAUUGGGCGUAAAGGGUGUGUAGGCGGACUGGAUUAGUCUUCUGUUAAAGCCUUGGGCUCAACCCAAGAUAUGCAGGAGAAACGGCCAGACUAGAGGGUGCGAGAGGUGAAUGGAACUCAUGGAGUAGGGGUGAAAUCCGUUGAUAUCAUGGGGAACACCGAAAGCGAAGGCAAUUCACUGGCGCAUUUCUGACGCUGAAACACGAAAGCGUGGGUAGCGAACGGGAUUAGAUACCCCAGUAGUC